ACAGGCUUAACACAUGCAAGUCGAGGGGCAUCAGGAAGAAAGCUUGCUUUCUUUGCUGGCGACCGGCGCACGGGUGAGUAACACGUAUCCAACCUGCCCUUUACUCGGGGAUAGCCUUUCGAAAGAAAGAUUAAUACCCGAUAGCAUAAUGAUUCCGCAUGGUUUCAUUAUUAAAGGAUUCCGGUAAAGGAUGGGGAUGCGUUCCAUUAGGUUGUUGGUGAGGUAACGGCCCACCAAGCCUUCGAUGGAUAGGGGUUCUGAGAGGAAGGUCCCCCACAUUGGAACUGAGACACGGUCCAAACUCCUACGGGAGGCAGCAGUGAGGAAUAUUGGUCAAUGGGCGCUAGCCUGAACCAGCCAAGUAGCGUGAAGGAUGAAGGCUCUAUGGGUCGUAAACUUCUUUUAUAUAAGAAUAAAGUGCAGUAUGUAUACUGUUUUGUAUGUAUUAUAUGAAUAAGGAUCGGCUAACUCCGUGCCAGCAGCCGCGGUAAUACGGAGGAUCCGAGCGUUAUCCGGAUUUAUUGGGUUUAAAGGGAGCGUAGGCGGACUGGUAAGUCAGUUGUGAAAGUUUGCGGCUCAACCGUAAAAUUGCAGUUGAUACUGUCAGUCUUGAGUACAGUAGAGGUGGGCGGAAUUCGUGGUGUAGCGGUGAAAUGCUUAGAUAUCACGAAGAACUCCGAUUGCGAAGGCAGCUCACUGGACUGCAACUGACACCGAUGCUCGAAAGUGUGGGUAUCAAACAGGAUUAGAUACCCUGGUAGUCCACACAGUAAACGAUGAAUACUCGCUGUUUGCGAUAUACAGUAAGCGGCCAAGCGAAAGCAUUAAGUAUUCCACCUGGGGAGUACGCCGGCAACGGUGAAACUCAAAGGAAUUGACGGGGGCCCGCACAAGCGGAGGAACAUGUGGUUUAAUUCGAUGAUACGCGAGGAACCUUACCCGGGCUUAAAUUGCAGUGGAAUGAUGUGGAAACAUGUCAGUGAGCAAUCACCGCUGUGAAGGUGCUGCAUGGUUGUCGUCAGCUCGUGCCGUGAGGUGUCGGCUUAAGUGCCAUAACGAGCGCAACCCUUAUCUUCAGUUACUAACAGGUCAUGCUGAGGACUCUGGAGAGACUGCCGUCGUAAGAUGUGAGGAAGGUGGGGAUGACGUCAAAUCAGCACGGCCCUUACGUCCGGGGCUACACACGUGUUACAAUGGGGGGUACAGAAGGCAGCUAGCGGGUGACCGUAUGCUAAUCCCAAAAGCCUCUCUCAGUUCGGAUCGAAGUCUGCAACCCGACUUCGUGAAGCUGGAUUCGCUAGUAAUCGCGCAUCAGCCACGGCGCGGUGAAUACGUUCCCGGGCCUUGUACACACCGCCCGUCAAGCCAUGGGAGCCGGGGGUACCUGAAGUACGUAACCGCAAGGAUCGUCCUAGGGUAAAACUGGUGACUGGGGCUAAGUAG
This 1443-nucleotide ribosomal RNA is filed under the name uncultured organism. RNAcentral describes it as "SSU rRNA". It matches the Rfam family "Bacterial small subunit ribosomal RNA". The record is from RNAcentral.